RNAcentral lists this ribosomal RNA (253 nucleotides) under uncultured bacterium. RNAcentral's name for it is "partial 16S ribosomal RNA". It matches the Rfam family "Bacterial small subunit ribosomal RNA", at positions 524 to 776 of the family's 1533-position model. The record is from RNAcentral.
GACAGAGGGUGCAAACGUUGUUCGGAAUUACUGGGCGUAAAGCGCGUGUAGGCGGCCCGGUAAGUCCGCUGUGAAAGUCGGGGGCUCAACCCUCGGAUGCCGGUGGAUACUGUCGGGCUAGAGUGCGGGAGAGGCGAGUGGAAUUCCUGGUGUAGCGGUGAAAUGCGCAGAUAUCAGGAGGAACACCAAUUGCGAAGGCAGCUCGCUGGAACGUAACUGACGCUGAGACGCGAAAGCGUGGGGAGCAAACAGG